This is a long non-coding RNA of Herpailurus yagouaroundi (jaguarundi), 1378 nucleotides long. RefSeq lists it as uncharacterized. The record is from RefSeq and is a predicted model, not a curated record. The transcript has 3 exons. Lineage: Eukaryota; Metazoa; Chordata; Mammalia; Carnivora; Felidae.
CUGUCUCCGUCUCUCUCAAAAUAAAUAAAUAAACUUAAAAGAACUAUACAUCUAAAAAAAUAGCCAAAAUAGCAAAUUGGAUGUGAACGAGACAGAAAGUUAAUUUUAAGAUGAUUACUUAGAAGAAUUCAUAUGAUUUCUGUAUCUGGUCAAGAUGGAGUAACUAGAAUCAAAUUUAUCCUCCCGUUUGAAACAACCGAACAAUGGACAAAAAUACAUGGAGCGGUGGUUUGCGAGAACUAGAUAUCAGAUCAUGAAAGGUAAUGAUCACUGAGAAGUGAGAAUUCUUCCCAAACCUAGGUGAGCCCCAUAAUUUACCCCAGCAUACUUCUUCAAGAAAGUUCCCAGACCAUGGCAUGGGGAGGGGAAAUUUAAACUCACCCCGGAAAACUUUCCAAGCUGAAAAGAUGUAGCUGAGAGUCAGGGAAGUCAAGUCAACUGGAAUUGGCAGGGCAGAGUACCAAAGAGAAGAGAGAGAACUCAGGAGAUUUGCAAAGAGGCUCCUGCAAGAAUUUAGGUGACUACCCAUCAAUGCUUGCAUGUGAGAAAAUACCCAAGACCAGGGAAAGACCCACCCAAAAGAAUUAGAGGUGAUAGUUACCUAUGCACAUAGAGGACUAGGAAUGAUGCUUAUUCCCACCAGCCAGACUAGAAAAACCUCACUGUUCACAGAGCAUUUGCUAUAGCACAUGUCAGAAACUGUAACAGGAUAUGAGAUUUUAUUUUAUUUGCAAGCCAACAAGCAGCCAUGAAGGCUGGUGGAAGACACAAGACUCCUAAGCAUGAGAGGAGGAGUGUAUUGAUUAUUUAGAGAAAUCACAGUACCAAGAGUAUCUGCUGUUUUUCUAACAAUUCUCUGAGUCCCAGUUCCCCCAGGGUGACUCAAAGAAGGCUAGAUGAGCCUUGCACAUGUGGUGGGUUGCCUUAUAGGAGAGAAACUUGAGCUAUUUCCGGUAACACCGAAAAGUAUGAAACACUUAGGGAUAAAAGAUGUGAAAGACCUACCUGUGCACUGAAGACUACUGAGCAUUGCCGAACAAAUUUAAGGAAGACCCUCCAAAUUGAAGACGUACACCAUGUUCACAGGACUGGUGUUUUUAAAAGACGAGGAAGAGACACCAGGGAUGCAUGCACGCGGAGAAAAGACCAUGUGAGGACGCAUAAGAAGGUGGCCAUUGAUAAGUCAAAGAGAGACGCCUCAGGAGAAACCACCAUGCUGGCACCUUGCAGCCUCCAGAACUGUGAGAAAAUAAAGAAACAUCCCUGUAAACAAGAAAGGGACAGAUUACAUCAUCUGGUUGGUGUUAAACAACAGAACAGGUGAGUACUGGCAAGACGAAUAGGCUUUAUUUCAUUUGAACAAAUUACUCUUGGACUC